RNAcentral lists this ribosomal RNA (254 nucleotides) under uncultured bacterium. RNAcentral describes it as "partial 16S ribosomal RNA". It matches the Rfam family "Bacterial small subunit ribosomal RNA", at positions 524 to 776 of the family's 1533-position model. The record is from RNAcentral.
UACGGAGGGUGCGAGCGUUGUCCGGAAUCAUUGGGCGUAAAGCGCGCGUAGGCGGCCAGAUAAGUCCGGUGUGAAAGUCACAGGCUCAACCUGUGAAUGCCGCUGGAAACUGUCCGGCUUGAGUCCGGAAGGGGCGAGUGGAAUUCCUGGUGUAGCGGUGAAAUGCGCAGAUAUCAGGAGGAACACCGGUGGCGAAGGCGGGGUCUCUGGGCAGUAACUGACGCUGAGGAGCGAAAGCGUGGGGAGCGAACAGG